GGAUAGAGGCCUACCAUGGUGGUAACGGGUAACGGGGUGUUAGGGCACGACACCGGAGAGGGAGCCUGAGAAACGGCUACCACAUCCAAGGAUGGCAGCAGGCGCGCAAAUUACCCAAUCCCGACACGGGGAGGUAGUGACAAUAAAUAACAAUACGGGGUUCUUUAGGAUCUCGUAAUGGAAUGAGUACAAUUUAAAUCUCUUAACGAGGAACAAUUGGAGGGCAAGUCUGGUGCCAGCAGCCGCGGUAAUUCCAGCUCCAAUAGCGUAUAUUAAAGUUGUUGCAGUUAAAAAGCUCGUAGUUGAAUUUCGAGAUCGGCUUACCGGUCGUGCUUUUGUACGUACUGGUAUAAUCGGUUUCUCCUUUCUGACGAACUUUAAUGCCAUUAAUUUGGUGUUUUAGGGAAUCAGGACUGUUACUUUGAAAAAAUUAGAGUGUUUAAAGCAGGCUCACGCUUGAAUACAUUAGCAUGGAAUAACGGAAUAGGACGUUUGAUUCUAUUUUGUUGGUCUCUAGGAUCGACGUAAUGAUUAAUAGGGAUAGUUGGGGGCAUUAGUAUUCUAUUGUCAGAGGUGAAAUUCUUGGAUUUAUUGAAGACUAACUACUGCGAAAGCAUUUGCCAAGGAUGUUUUCAUUAAUCAAGAACGAAAGUUAGGGGAUCGAAGACGAUCAGAUACCGUCGUAGUCUUAACCAUAAACUAUGCCGACUAGGGAUCGGAUGA
This 723-nucleotide ribosomal RNA is filed under the name uncultured Glomus. Its description in RNAcentral is "SSU rRNA". It matches the Rfam family "Eukaryotic small subunit ribosomal RNA", at positions 331 to 1060 of the family's 1831-position model. The record is from RNAcentral. Lineage: Eukaryota; Fungi; Glomeromycota; Glomeromycetes; Glomerales; Glomeraceae.